Molecule: unclassified non-coding RNA, 421 nt
Filed under: fungal sp.
Lineage: Eukaryota; Fungi
Description: partial internal transcribed spacer region
Rfam family: Eukaryotic small subunit ribosomal RNA (bases 1-46)
Source: RNAcentral
AAGUCGUAACAAGGUUUCCGUAGGUGAACCUGCGGAAGGAUCAUUAACAACAUAUCCUAACUAAAAAACCCUGUGAACUUUCAAUGUCCCGAACCUUUGAUCCGAGGACUUCAGCAAUCUCUGGUAAAUCAUAGUGAACAGCUUUUGAUUCAGAGACCUCUGGCCCGUGAGAUUCUUUGAGACGUUACAAUUUUGAGCGGUAGUUCUAUAGGCCUUGUUUCCCCAAGCAGUCAGUGUCUGAAAGUGUCAUUGAUUGUGCAAGGAUAACGCUUCACGAUUCUUGUAGACCGCAUCUCGCGGGCAGGAGCUAGGCCAAAGGGUCCCCAUGCCCCCUUACAACCCCACAGUUUAAUGUGAAGCUCAAUGUAAUACAUUGGGUAAAAAAACCGAACAACUGUUAACAAUGGAUAUCUUGGUUCUC